This 572-nucleotide ribosomal RNA is filed under the name Rhodotorula mucilaginosa. Its description in RNAcentral is "eukaryotic LSU rRNA". It matches the Rfam family "Eukaryotic large subunit ribosomal RNA", at positions 62 to 648 of the family's 3401-position model. Lineage: Eukaryota; Fungi; Basidiomycota; Microbotryomycetes; Sporidiobolales; Sporidiobolaceae. The record is from RNAcentral.
AAACUAACAAGGAUUCCCCUAGUAGCGGCGAGCGAAGCGGGAAGAGCUCAAAUUUAUAAUCUGGCACCUUCGGUGUCCGAGUUGUAAUCUCUAGAAAUGUUUUCCGCGUUGGACCGCACACAAUUCUGUUGGAAUACAGCGGCAUAGUGGUGAGACCCCCGUAUAUGGUGCGGACGCCCAGCGGCUUUGUGAUACAUUUUCGAAGAGUCGAGUUUGUUUGGGAAUGCAGCUCAAAUUGGGUGGUAAAUUCCAUCUAAAGCUAAAUAUUGGCGAGAGACCGAUAGCGAACAAGUACCGUGAGGGAAAGAUGAAAAGCACUUUGGAAAGAGAGUUAACAGUACGUGAAAUUGUUGGAAGGGAAACGCUUGAAGUCAGACUUGCUUGCCGAGCAAUCGGUUUGCAGGCCAGCAUCAGUUUUCCGGGAUGGAUAAUGGUAGAGAGAAGGUAGCAGUUUCGGCUGUGUUAUAGCUCUCUGCUGGAUACAUCUUGGGGGACUGAGGAACGCAGUGUGCCUUUGGCGGGGGUUUCGACCUCUUCACACUUAGGAUGCUGGUGGAAUGGCUUUAAACGAC